CUCACUGUCUCUCAGAAGCUUGCCAAUUUUUUCAGGUCGUUUGAAGAAGGUGAAGCCAGCUCAAAAAGUGAAUCUGCUUGAUACUCCAACUGAUGGUUCAGUCUCUCUCUCACUGCAAUUGUUGAUAUGCCUUGAAUCUGGAUGUUACAUCUAGGCGAUGGAUGUUACAUCACGUACAUCAUACCGACUCGGUUGCAUCAAGAGCGUUGCAUCAAGUUAUUAUGGAUGUUACAUCUGAUCGUG
RNAcentral lists this long non-coding RNA (243 nucleotides) under Brassica napus (rape). Its description in RNAcentral is "long non-coding RNA (BNAP_LNC012127)". The record is from RNAcentral. Lineage: Eukaryota; Viridiplantae; Streptophyta; Magnoliopsida; Brassicales; Brassicaceae.